GAGACAGGAGGAAAAGGGAGGCAUGCACUAGAGAUGUAGAGGCAGAUCCGCAAUGUCAACUAGUGUGGGUCAGAAGACCUGGGUUCAGACCUACCAGCUGGCCUGGGCAAGUUACUUUACCACUUCGAAUCUCAUUGCAAAUUCUUCUUCUUCUUCUUCUUCUUCUUUUUUUUUUUUUAAAGAAACUUCUCUAUAGGAAAAUGCAAAUUAAGACACCAAUGAAAUACCAUUUUAAAACACUAGACUUUGCUUGCUCAGAUGGUCUACAAAUUUUAAAAAAUGAAAGAAACAAGUAGAUAAAAAUAAAAUGAAAGGAAAAAUAAUUUUUAAAAGUUUUAAAAAUCACUAGACUGACAAAAAUUAAGAAGCCUGACCCACUGCUUACAGAUGUGUAAAUUAGUGCAACUUCCUAGGAAAACAGUUUAUCACUAUCUUUUAAAGUUGAACAGCUGCAGGCCAGGCGCGGUGGCUCAUGCCUGAAAUCCCAGCACUUUGGGAGGCCGAGGCGGGUGGAUCACGAGGUCAGGAGAUCAAAACCAUCCUGGCUAACAUGGUGAAACCCCAUCUCUACUAAAAAAAUACAAAAAAUUAGCCGGGUGUGGUGGCAGAUGCCUGUAGUCCCAGCUACUCUGGAGGCUGAGGCAGGAGAAUGGCAUGAGCCCGGGAGGCAGAGCUUGCAGUGAGCCAAGAUCGAGCCACUGCACUCUAGCCUGGGCGACAGAGCGAGACUCCAUCUCAAAAAAAAAAAAGUUGAACAGCUGCAUACUUCUCCAUUCCACUCCUGAGUACAUUCCUACAGAGAAACUCUUAUACAUGUACACCAUGACAUGAAAAAUAAUCUUUUAGCAGCAUUGGUCAUAAUAGCAAAGAUCUUAAAACAACUUGAAUUUCCAUCCACAGGGGAAUGGGUAAAUAGUAUUACAGUCAUUCAGUGGAAUAUUAUAAAACAGUGAAAAGAUGUGAACUCCAACUACAUGAUACAAUAUGUUUGAACAUUAAAGCAUAUUGUUAGUAAACAAAGGCAAAUCUUGGAAGGAUACAUACAGUAUGAUGCAAUUUUUAUAAAGCUCAUAAAUAAUCAAAACCAGCCAUUCAUUGUUUAAAGAUACAUACAUAUGGCUGGGCACAGUGGCUUAUGCCUGUAACCCCAGCACUUUGGGAGGCUAAGGCAGGCGGAUCACCUGAGGUCAGGAGAUGGAGACCAGCCUGGCCAACAUGGUGAAACCCCGUCUCUACUAAAACUACAAAAAUUAGCUGGGCAUGGUGGCAGGCACCUGUAAUUCCAGCUACUCAGGAGCUGAGGCAGGAGAAUCGCUUGAAUCCGGGUGGCAGAGGUUGCAGUGAGCCGAGAUUGUGCCAUUGCACUCCAGCCUGGGCAACAAGAGUGAAACUCCAUCUCAAAAUAAAUAAAGUAAAAUAAAAAUAAAGAUACAUUCAUAUGUGGUUAAAGUAAUUUUUGAAAAAGCAA
RNAcentral lists this long non-coding RNA (1468 nucleotides) under Homo sapiens (human). RNAcentral describes it as "novel transcript, sense intronic to MYH6". The record is from RNAcentral. Lineage: Eukaryota; Metazoa; Chordata; Mammalia; Primates; Hominidae.